Molecule: non-coding RNA, 343 nt
Organism: Pelobates cultripes (western spadefoot toad)
Lineage: Eukaryota; Metazoa; Chordata; Amphibia; Anura; Pelobatidae
Source: the annotation of a GenBank genome assembly
GUUUCUAUCAUAUCCCCCCUGUCUCGUCUUUCCUCCAAGCUACACAUGUUAAGAUCCUUUAACCUUUCCUGGUAAGUUUUAUCCCGCAAUCCAUGAACCAGUUUAGUAGCCCUUCUCUGAACCCUCUCUAAGGUAUCAAUAUCCUUCUGAAGAUACGGUCUCCAGUACUGUGUACAAUACUCCAAGUGAGGUCUCACCAGUGUUCUGUACAAUGGCAUGAGCACUUCCCUCUUUCUACUGCUAAUACCUCUCCCUAUACAACCAAGCAUUCUGCUAGCAUUUCCUGCUGCUCAUUACAUUGUCUGCCUACCUUUAAGUCAUCAGAAAUAAUCACCCCUAAAUC